UUCUCUCUUAUUCUUUUGUUAAUAGGCUAGUUUCACAACACGUUAUCAGCACGAUUUCGUUCGUUGUUUUCCUUAUAUCGUUUCUUUUUAGUCUGCAAAUCCCUCUUGGGUUUUGUUGCUUCAUGACAACAGAAAACAUUGGGACAUUGGCCACCGACAUCACAAACUAGUUGCAUUAGCAUUGCACUGCUUCCGUGACCUCACACGAUUGUUUCAAUCGGCAAAGAUAUCCUGACAUCCCUGUUUCGAUGCGCAACCACGACUAUCUUACGAAAUCAGUCAAUGUGUGGGGGAGAUGUAAACAAAAACUCUUUAAUGUUGGGUUGAAGAACAAAGGGUUGGACUUUGUUUAAAUUAAAUUUUCCUAUA
Molecule: long non-coding RNA, 369 nt
Organism: Helianthus annuus (common sunflower)
Lineage: Eukaryota; Viridiplantae; Streptophyta; Magnoliopsida; Asterales; Asteraceae
Exons: 2
Source: RefSeq, a predicted model, not a curated record